Molecule: ribosomal RNA, 3130 nt
Filed under: Cyprinodon variegatus (sheepshead minnow)
Lineage: Eukaryota; Metazoa; Chordata; Actinopteri; Cyprinodontiformes; Cyprinodontidae
Description: eukaryotic LSU rRNA
Rfam family: Eukaryotic large subunit ribosomal RNA
Source: RNAcentral
AACCUCAACUCAGGCAAGACAACGCCGUGAACUAAAGCAUUUCAGUAACGGCAGGAAAAGAAAAUAACAAUGAUUCCCUUAGUAACUGCGAGUGAAGUGGGAACAGCUCAACGUUGAAAGCUGCAUUUUUAACGAAAUGUCGCAUUGUAACGUAUAGACUUGUUAUCGAGACAAUUGUCAGCAUUAAAGUCGUUAUGAAUAACGCACCAUAGAGGGUGUUAGUCCCGUGUAUGAUGUUGAUGCUAUUGUUGUGAAUAACAAUGUCAUAGAGUCGGAUUGUUUGGGAAUGCAGUCUAAAGUGGGUGGUAAACUCCAUCUAAAGCUAAAUAUUACCUCGAGACCGAUAGCGAACAAGUACCGCGAGGGAAAGUUGAAAAGCACUCUGAAAAGAAAGUGAAAAGUACGUGAAACCGUUAAUGGGGAAGCGCACAAUAGAAUCAAAGUGAUAUAUUGUUGAUGUGCGUUAUGUGCUAAAACACAUACGUGGCAGUUAUCAAUAUGUUACGCGCUGAGCUCGUUGCGAAUCGAUUGACAAUGUGCAUGAGUAGAUGACCAAAGUGAUGUCAUUAGAUAUCAUUUAAUUAUCUAUCUGUACAAUUGUUUUAAAAUUGAAUUGUGGCGUUGGUGAGUAGUUGCAGCAUGAGUGUAGUGGAGGUUGGCAGUGUUAGUCGAUUGGUUCAAAGAGCCAAUGACGACACUGUUAAAGGAAGCUGCAGUUAUGUUGUAGCGAUCACAAUAGUGGCUCACAUAUUCUCAGCGAGAUAUGCUAUUGUACGACCCGUCUUGAAACACGGACCAAGGAGGCUAACGUAUACGCGAGUCGAGGAGUGGAGAAACUCUUGGGCGUAAUGAAAGUGAAACUUGUGAGAUCUGGCAACGAUUAAAUGUUGUCAGCGCAUCACAGACCGGUUGUAGGGUUGCCUGCGAUUGAGUUUAGCGUAUGCGAUAGGACCCGAAAGAUGGUGAUCUAUGCCUGAGUAGGGCGAAUUCGUUUUAACCAACGAUGGAGGCCCGUAAGCGGUUCUAACGUGCAAAUUGAUCGUUUAACUUGGGUAUAGGGGCGAAAGACUAAUCGAACCAUCUAGUAGCUGGUUCCCUCCGAAAUAUCCCUCAGGAUCGCCGAGACUUGUAUUCUCAGUUUCAUCGGGUAGAGCGAAUGAUUAGAGGAAUCGGGGUUAUUUUUGACCUCGACCUAUUCUCAAACUAUCAAUCGGUGAUACGGAGCAUGAUUACUUGAGUGAAUCAUGCUUGUUAUGAAUGAGUGAGUCUCGAGUGGGCCGUUUUUGGUAAGCAGAACUGGCGAUGCGGGAUGAACCGAGAGUCGGGUUAAGGUGCCAAAGUAGAGGCAAACGGACACCACAAAAGGAGUUGGUAAAUGUUAACAAUAGGUCUGUGGCCCUGAAAGUAGGCACCAGCUAAGAAGUGUGCAACAACUUACCUAUCGAAUUUACUGGCCCUGAAAAUGGAUGGCGCUUAGCCUCUCACCGAUACCCGACCGUAGACGCGAGAAAUGAGACGUCUAUGGGUAGGAGGGUGUUGUGGUAGUUGCGAAGGUUGUACGUGAGUGCGACUGGAACUGCCACAAGUACAGAUCUUGGUUUUAGUAGCAGCGCAUAGAAGUGAGAACCUUCUAGGCCGAAGUGGAGAAGGGUUCCUUGUGAACAGCAGUUGGGCGAGGGUGAGUCGGUCCUAAGCGGCAGCUUACAUGCUGAACAAAAGGAAACGUUCUACAAUACGGCUCUUUUGACGUAUUGUUGAAGUUUCAGUCCGCAAAAGGGAAUCAGGUUAAUAUUCCUGAACCAAUGGGUGCAUAUCACACAGUGUUGGGGCUAAUUUGGUGCAAGCCAGAUUGGUUCAGGUGCUGUGAGUAGAGCGGUAACGCAAACAAACUCGGAUACAUUGUUGGCAGUUCUGGGGAGAGUUAUCUUUUCUGUUUAACCAGUUGAGUGAGCCUGGAAUAGAGUCGCUCGGAGAUAGGCUUAACAGCUGGGAAGAGCAUCGCAUUUUCGUGGUGUCCGGAGUGCUGCUAACGAUUCGUAAAAAUCCGGGGGCGUGGUUGAUUGUCACCCUUGGCCGUACCCAGAUCCGCAUCAGGUCUCCAAGGUGAAUAGCCUCUGGCUCUAGAAUAAUGUGGGUAAGGGAAGUCGGCAAAAUAGAUUCGUAACUUCGGGAUAAGGAUUGGCUCUAAGGAUUGGGUUGGUUGGACUGUGUGUUUGUUGAUAGAGCGCGUGAUGUUGACUGGUGCGAUACAACCAGCUGGUUCGUCCUGUUGGUUGUUUGCGUCGGUUGACGUUGCGAUGUUCUGUCCAGGAUGCAGUUUACAGUCGGCAUGCAUACUCUCGUAGUUUGUAUGUUUGGCUGUCUCGCAAUCAGCUAAAAUCAAUCAACUUAGAACUGUCACUGACUAGGGGAAUCCGACUGUUUAAUUAAAACAAAGCAUUGCGAUGGCUGGAAACGGUGUUGACGCAAUGUGAAUUCUGCCCAGUGCUCUGAAUGUCAAAGUGUGGAGACACAACCAAGCGCGGGUAAACGGCGGGUGUAACUCUGACUCUCUUAAGGUAGCCAAAUGCCUCGUCAUCUAAUUAGUGACGCGCAUGAAUGGAUCAACGAGAUUCCCACUGUCCCUACCUACCAUCUAGCGAACAAACAGUCAAGGGAACGGGCUUGACUGAGACAGCGGGGAAAGAAGACCCUGUUGAGCUUGACUCUAGUUUGACAUGGUGAGGAAACAUGAGGGGUGUAGAAUAGGUGGGAGAGUUGUGUAAGCAGCUCAAAGAUGAAAUACCACCACUCGCAUCGUUUCUUCACUAAAUCGGUGAUAACGGAUGUGCCCAAUCGCAGGUGUGAUCGUUAUACUUUUGAACAAUGCAGCUUGAUGACUUUGUUAUUAAGUUUGUAUUGCANAACAACAUGUCCUGUCUAACGUUUAGUGCCACCUCAGUGACGUUGCCACCAUACACCUGGUUGAUACAUUUCUUGUACUCCCCAACCAGACUAUUUUAUAAAGGAAUAAGUUUCUUGGAUGAGAGACAAAACAUCUUCUACUCACACGUUUACUCCAGUUGCCAUAUUUUAUGCUUGCUUGAGACUCAUUGACAAUUGUUCAAGGACGACUAUCAGCCCAAAUGUA